GAUGAACGCUGGCGGCGUGCCUAAUACAUGCAAGUCGAGCGAACAGACGAGGAGCUUGCUCCUCUGACGUUAGCGGCGGACGGGUGAGUAACACGUGGAUAACCUACCUAUAAGACUGGGAUAACUUCGGGAAACCGGAGCUAAUACCGGAUAAUAUAUUGAACCGCAUGGUUCAAUAGUGAAAGACGAUUUUGCUGUCACUUAUAGAUGGAUCCGCGCCGCAUUAGCUAGUUGGUAAGGUAACGGCUUACCAAGGCAACGAUGCGUAGCCGACCUGAGAGGGUGAUCGGCCACACUGGAACUGAGACACGGUCCAGACUCCUACGGGAGGCAGCAGUAGGGAAUCUUCCGCAAUGGGCGAAAGCUUGACGGAGCAACGCCGCGUGAGUGAUGAGGGUCUUCGGAUCGUAAAACUCUGUUAUUAGGGAAGAACAAAUGUGUAAGUAACUAUGCACGUCUUGACGGUACCUAAUCAGAAAGCCACGGCUAACUACGUG
Molecule: ribosomal RNA, 497 nt
Filed under: uncultured bacterium
Lineage: Bacteria
Description: partial 16S ribosomal RNA
Rfam family: Bacterial small subunit ribosomal RNA
Source: RNAcentral